Molecule: ribosomal RNA, 253 nt
Filed under: uncultured bacterium
Lineage: Bacteria
Description: partial 16S ribosomal RNA
Rfam family: Bacterial small subunit ribosomal RNA
Source: RNAcentral
UACGUAGGUGGCAAGCGUUGUCCGGAAUUACUGGGCGUAAAGCGUGCGCAGACGGUUGCGUAAGUCAGAUGUGAAAGCCCCGGGCUCAACCUGGGAAUUGCAUUCGAGACUGCAUAGCUAGGGUGCGGAAGAGGGAAGCGGAAUUUCCGGUGUAGCGGUGAAAUGCGUAGAUAUCGGGAGGAACACCAGUGGCGAAGGCGGCUUCCUGGCCUGUUCUUGACGCUGAGGCGCGAAAGCUAGGGUAGCAAACGGG